UAAUACUUAGAGUUUGAUCCUGGCUCAGGACGAACGCUGGCGGUGCGCCUAAUGCAUGCAAGUCGAACGAGCGACCCGGGCUUGCCCGGUUAGCUAGUG
Molecule: ribosomal RNA, 99 nt
Filed under: Dehalococcoidia bacterium
Lineage: Bacteria; Bacillati; Chloroflexota; Dehalococcoidia
Description: partial 16S ribosomal RNA
Rfam family: Bacterial small subunit ribosomal RNA
Source: RNAcentral